Long non-coding RNA from Aplysia californica (California sea hare), 491 nucleotides. RefSeq lists it as uncharacterized. The record is from RefSeq and is a predicted model, not a curated record. NCBI's taxonomy places the organism in Eukaryota, Metazoa, Mollusca, Gastropoda, Aplysiida, Aplysiidae. The transcript is spliced from 3 exons.
UUGAUUCACUGGUUAAAAAGAUAUUUGAGGAUAAGUUGCGCCACAAAUGUUUGACCUCACUAUAGGCCACAAAGUGGAACCGACGUACCGCGGCCCCGGUCAACUUGACUCCGUUUGUCUUUAUAUGCUCUCAACCAACUUUUUGUUUUUUUCUUUGUUGAAGGACUUCGGAGCCAGUGUGAGUGACUACUUCUUUUCCUUGUUGGAGUUGUGAAGUAAAGUUCCAGUUCGUUUAGAAGCAGCUUGGUCUAGUGCUGUAUCGAGUUGAUUUAAAAUGGAUGUGUCCGGAAAGGUUUUCUUCAUCACUGGAGGGGCUCAUGGGUUAGGCAAAGCGUAUGCUGAGACGUUGCUGGCCAAAGGAGCGAAGAUUUUCCUCUGCGAUGUGGACCCUAAGGCUGGAGCUGAAACUUUAGAAGAUUUCCAAAAACGUUUUGGGGAGCAAAAUGUCAAAUUCACAGCUUUUGAUGUAACAGAUAUGGGAAAAUUCGAAG